GACGAACGCUGGCGGCGUGCUUAACACAUGCAAGUCGAGCGGAGAUAUAUGGAAGGUUUACCUGAAAUAUAUCUUAGCGGCGGACGGGUGAGUAACGCGUGGGUAACCUGCCUUGUACAGGGGGAUAACACAGGGAAACUUGUGCUAAUACCGCAUAACACAGUUGGUUGGCAUCAAUUGACUGUCAAAGGAGGAAUCCGGUAUAAGAUGGACCCGCGUCCGAUUAGCUAGUUGGCGGUGUAACGGACCACCAAGGCGACGAUCGGUAGCCGAACUGAGAGGUUGAUCGGCCACAUUGGGACUGAGACACGGCCCAGACUCCUACGGGAGGCAGCAGUGGGGAAUAUUGCGCAAUGGGGGAAACCCUGACGCAGCAACGCCGCGUGAAGGAAGAAGGUUUUCGGAUCGUAAACUCUUUGAUGAGGGAAGAAUAAUGACGGUACCUCAAAACAAGCCACGGCUAACUACGUG
This 471-nucleotide ribosomal RNA is filed under the name uncultured bacterium. RNAcentral describes it as "bacterial SSU rRNA". It matches the Rfam family "Bacterial small subunit ribosomal RNA", at positions 28 to 507 of the family's 1533-position model. The record is from RNAcentral.